ACACUGAUAAAGCUGGGUGCUCUGCUGGCAAAGCUGUUCUGACAAAGCAGGCAAAGAGAGGGUGGACAUGAGUGUGCUGUAAGUGAUGCCACAUCUUAAAGUCCUGCAUUACUUCAGAAACACCCACAAUGGCAGGAAAUCCAGUCAAAGGUACAUCUCUCAGCAGAACCAAUGGAGUGAACCUUCUUUCCAUCUAGAUAAAAAGGUAAAGGGACCCCUGACCGUUAGGUCCAGUCACAGAUGACUCUGGGGUUGCAGCGCUCAUCUCACUUUACUGGCUGAAGGAGCCGGCAUACAGCUUUCAGGUCAUGUGGCCAGCAUGACUAAGCCGCUUCUGGCAAACCAGAGCAGUGCAUGGAAAUGCUGUUUACCUUCCUGCUGGAGCGGUACCUACCGUAUUUUUCACCCCAUAGGGCACACCUAGUUUUUUUUUGGGGGGGAAUAAAGAAAAAAAAUUAUUUCCCCCUCCCCAGGCGCAGGGCUGGGGCGGGGGAAGCCCGAGCUUCCCCCGACCCCAGCCCCCAGAACAGGCUGCUAUCCGCAAGCCUAGGGAGCCCGGCGGGAAGUCGCGCUGGGCUCCCUAGGGUUGCGGAGAGCUGCCCGAAGCCUGGGGCGAGCUCCGCUGCGCUCCCCAGGUUUCGGGCUGCAGGCUGCUGUCAGCAAGCCUUGGGAGCCCGUGGGAGUUCCUGAAGCCUGGAGGAUAGCUUCCUGAAGCCUGGAGAGCGGUGUGCACCGACCCCUCUCGCUCUCCAGGCUUCAGCGAAAGCCUGCAUUCGCCCCAUAGGACGCACACACAUUUCCCCUUCAUUUUUGGAGGGGAAAAAGUGCAUCCUAUAGGGUGAAAAAUACGGUAUUUAUCUACUUGCACUGCGUGCUUUUGAACUGCUAGGUUGGCAGGAGCAGGGACCGAGCAACGGGAGCUCACUCCGUCACCGAGAUUCGAACCGCCGACCUUCUGAUCGGCAGACCCAAGCGGCACAGUGGUUUAACCCACAGUGCCACCCGCGUCCCAUUUCCAUCUAGAUAGGUCAAUAAAAUUGCACGAAAACUAAGCAACAAAGUGUUUCUCCUUCUGAACUCAUAAUAACAAGGUUCAGGCAUAAUAGUCAGCCUGGAAUAGAUAUAUCAGAGCAGGAAAAUCUACCUACCGACCUGCCUCUUUUAUGGGAAAAUAGAUGAUAGAUUCAUCAUCAGUUGUAAAUACUCAUGUGUUUUACCUAUGGGGUGGACCACACAUGUGUAAUAUAUUUUCCUAAACAAAUAUGGUCUCUUUUUAGAUAAUAGUGUAUGCAUCAUUACUCACGACUGUCACUGAAUAUGUUUAGCUAUGAGUAUACAGCUGGGCAGACAUUAUUAUUAUUUUUAUAUAAGAAAAAUCACACAUGGAAACUUCCUCUAAUUUAAAAAAAACCUAUGGGAUUAUUAAGCAUUCAGUGAUUUUCUAUAACCAAGAUACAAGGAUCCUUUCUUUGGAGUGUUAUAAUAAAACAUAUGAAAAUACUAAGUGGCCAUUAACGCUUCUUGUUUCUCUGCUUCUCUGCCCCUUUUCACCACCCCAUAGCAUGUGAAAUGGCCCUUAGGGCACAUACCUUCACUCUUAUAUUUUAUAGUUUUGCUUCAAGGACUGUCAAACAGGGAUACUAAGAUCCCACUUUCAUGGGAUACACUGGAGUGAUAAACACCUACAGAAGUAUUUAGCCAUUAUAGAAUUGUAUUUUAUGAACUUUUAAUAUAUGUUGUAUGCUGUUGAUAAUUUUCAAGCUCUGAGAAGUUUUGCUUCCCCUCAAAUGCAUAUGGUUCUGUUAUACAUCUCACCUGAGGCAUUGUAAACCUCACAGAGGCACCUCUGUCUGUCUCUUACUUGGAAUGUAACUUAAUGAUUCACUGUCUUGCUUUGACUAACAUGUCAGCUCAGGGAAUGUGCCUCUCAUGAUGGCAAGAAUGGUUUAACCUCUUAGGAACAGCAGAUAUCCUAACUCCCAUGUCACAAAAUCUACCCAGAUGAGAGGAAGAUAUCUGGCCAUUGCAUCUCCACAGAUGCUUUACCUCCACACAACAGCUGUCAUUUCUUACUGCAGAAACAGUCAUUUAGGGGCUGGUUUGAGGGGGAAAUAGUAUUCAUUAACAGAAUGAAUAGAGUCUGCUUACAUGAUUUCGGUAUGCUAAACUCUAGUAGUCCUUCAUGGAGACUUUUCCCAGAAAGCUGCACAGUUGCAUUGCAUCACCUAUCCUUGAAAUGUGUGGCUUAUGUUGAGUUUCAAUAGUUUUAACAUAUCUAUAAUGAGAGGCAUGCACUUUCUAGCUUUCACUGAGGCUCUGGGUGUACAUGUCUCUUUCCCCUUACACUAACCAGUAAAAAGGGGAGGAGGGUAAACAUUUUUUGCUCUUCCUCCUUCAGAGCUCUGGAUCCAUUACAAUCCUUUGACCUGACAGAUGGAGACUGGCUUCUAAAAUGUUCUCUGAUCAUUUAACCAGAAUUUGUUUGAGUCUUCUAGCUAAUGCCAUAUAUGUAUACUACAUCCACUCUGUACAUGCUUCUAUACCAGUUUUCUGUCUAUCUUGGUAUUUUUCGGACAUGGCUCCUGCCAUAAGCAGGUCAUUCUUAUUUUCAUUUAUGAAACAGGCCUAAGGGUUAUUUGUGAAUGAUCUCUGCUGCAAAUAAAAUAUUCACGGUUCUGUAUUUUUAGUACCCUUUGGAAAAUGUCUUGUGCUCCCUCUGCUGUUUUGAUGGGAGCACUGAACUGACCAGAUGUGCUACAGGAAUUCAACAGCAUAGGAGGUGUAACAUGAAAACCUGUGGGCCGUUUGUUAAAUACAUCCGUUCACAAGGAUAAAUAAAAAGAGGUGACAGAUUCAGUCGUAUAUAACAAAAAGAAAAUGCUAUGAAAGUAAAUCUAAAAAGAAUUAGUGGAACUGGUGCAUGUGUAAGUGCAAACACACAAAAAAACAAAUUAAAACAUCAGGAGCUAGCAAAAAAUACACAGUGGGUAUAAUUCCACCAAAGUGAAGCUAGGCUGCAUUGUUUUUAACUGAAGAUUUGAGCAUGUGCUUGACUCUUUUGUUUUGAAAUCAUUUGGACAUAAGAUCUAUUUAAUAAUAUUUGUAUAAUGGCUAAUUGCUAAAGCCUCUAAGUUGUUUACAAAAAAAACCCAUAAAAUAUGUAUUAAAAUUGUCUAUAAAAGUCAGAAGUCGAAUAUAAGUUGGCCUAAAAAUUAUUCCAAAUAUAAAGAAAAUCAAUAGUUAAAAAUGAAAACUAUCGAUUAAAAUACAUGUCAGUUUUACAUAUCUGACUAGGCUAGCCUAAACAAAAAAGGUUUUAGGAGGCACAGGAAACAAUACAAUGAGGUGCCUGCCGUGUGUGUGUGUGUGUGUGUGUGUGUGUGUGUGUGCACAAUCAAUAAAUAACAAAUAAUUGGACUGAAGUAUGGGAGCACCAGGGCUUUUUUUUUCAGCCAGAACUUGCUGGAACUCAGUUCUGGUACCUCUCAGGUGGGCACUAUUGCCAUUAUAAGAGAGCAUAGAAGGCGUUCAUAGUGAGUUCCUGCACCUCUUUUUCAAGAAAAAUAGCACUGGGAAGGGCUCUAUAAAAUGCCUUGUUUCCAUAAGACUGUUCACUGGCUAGCUUACAUUUUGUAACGCAUGCAUAAAAGAAAAUGAAAUCAGAGCAUAUAGCCUGGCCAGUGUGGAUGAGAAUUCUGUUCUGUGCUUCAGAAACACUGGUUUCCAAACAACUGUUCAGAAGCAUUUCAUUUUCCUAAUAUCCCAGCACACCAGCCAAGGAAGGCACACAUCCAAGCACACUUACAGCAGCUCCUAAAGUGCAAUGGAUACACAUGCACACAUUCUUCUAGAGUCUAGGCAGCUUUCCCCAAGUCCAUGCCCCACAGAGCAGUUGCAGCAACAGUGGGACCAAGCUCCUCACCACCACCUUAUGUACCCUUAUCUGAUGGGAUGUGCACAUCCAACCUGAGGCUUCUCCUACACAGAAGUCACCGUUCUCUCUUCUAGGAGACAGCAGAGCAGGGGAUGGCAGGGUUCUGACUGGCCCACCUGCCUGAACCGCCUCUUCCUCUUCCUCUGACAUGUCAUAUGCACCCACCUCCAUCUCUGACUGCUUAGUUUACACCCUUCCUCUCCCCAACUCCUGCUCUGGCUCCUGCCUCGCAGAUGGUGCCAAACCCCAUAAAUCGCUGGGGCCCUUUCCUAUAGUGAAUAAUUUGUGCCUAUGUAUGCAGUUUGUGCCUAUACAUGGGUGGUCCCUUAAUGUGUAAGACCUUGUGCAGAUGUCCAGUACAUGGACAACAGGGAUGCCAUGAGCAGGGCCAGACCUAAGUCAGACCUACACUGCCAUGAGCAGUGUAAUCCUAAGUCCCAAACACAUGUAGAAGAUGGGCAUGUGCAUAGGCCAAGUCUUUCAGAAAAUGAACUUUAAAAGCAGUAGUUUAAGGCAAGAUAAAAUAAGCAUGAUUUCCCUACCAAAUGGCUUCCUUGGUGCAAAAUAAGAAUAAGAGAGGAUAACAGGAACUAUAAGAUUGAGACUUGCAGUGAAAUAUGAAAAAAAACACCUAAUUUUGGAAUGCAGAACAAAUUACUUAAAUGAUAAUCCCAGAAUUACGUUUACUGAAACCAACAGAUUUUAACAUGAAAACAGACUACAUAUUUACAUGUCCCUAUACCACAGCUUUUGGCAAUAUCACCACGACAGUGAUUCUUUUUAAAACAAGCUUCCAUUGGUUUGACCUUAAGUAUCCCCACAGCUGUGUGGAUCACAUCAAACUGCCUUUUAGGUCUUGUGCUAUUCACAUGAGACUGAAAGCACUUCUAACUUUAAAAGGUCUGAGUGAAAAAUGGAAGAUAUCAUAUUGGUGCUAGUUCAUAGUAUAAUAUCAUCAAGGGUCCCGAAUUUUUUUGCUGCCCAAGAGGAAUUAAAACAGCCCUCCAACAGUUGUUGGACUCCAACCACCAUCGGUCUCAGCCAGCACAGUCAAUAGUGAGGAAUGAUGGGAGCUGUAAUCUAACAACACCUGAAACUUAGAAAAUCUGAUGGUUCAAAGGCUCUCAGUAACACCUCAUUGAAUGCAGGAGAUGCUACCCAACUGAUGAGAUGCCAAGCAGCAUUUGUGCAAAGUACAGGGCCUACACAGUGUGGGGAGCAGAUUUCUCUCCCUGGACUUCUUAGAAUUCAGCAGAAUUCCUGAUCUGGACCUUGUGGAGAAAUUAAUUCUCUGCACCACAAGAAUGUGUUUCAAAGCUUUACUGCAAAACAGUAAAAUAAACAUUACAAAAUAACUAAGCAACACUUUAUAAACAAGCAAUGAGGUUCAGUCCUUUAUGCAGUUCUGUAAACCUUCCUCUCUCUGGUCCUAGAGGGAGAUCCUAGGCUUGUUCAUCAGUGCAGAACUUCCCUGCAACUUUUGUUGUUGCUGCUAUUACUAGCCAUCUCCAACAAGCACACACAGGCUUCUCAAGUUUCAGCUCCCCGUUGUGAAAGCUCUGCGGCUCAUGUUUUCAGAUAUGAGCCAUCAGGUAGAUUAUCUUACUCUAAUGGAAAAAUAUCAACCUUCUCUAAUGCUUUUGCCAGAGUGGAACCUUUUUGCCUAAGGUAAGAGUUCUACUAUAUAUGAAUGUGUAAAUAUUUACCUAGGGAAAAUUAUUUUUGUGAAUACAUCCAAAUAAUUUGGAUGACCAGUGUCUGGGUAGUUCUUAUAUCAUUGCAGGUAUGAUGCUACUAUUCCUCUAUGGGCUGAGGUUGGAGCUUUUGUCCAGCAAAUGACCACAUUACAACCACAGCUAAAAAUUGAAAUUUGGUCUGCUGUGACCCAAAUGAUUUCUUCUCCCCCUAAAUCAUGUUUCAUUCCCCUAUUUUGUUCAAUUCUGGAAGUAAACACAGAGUUUUGAAAGAGGAGAAAAAGAAUCCGCCUUGAAUUUUUUGUAACAGAAGUAGCAUCUGAUUGAUUCCAACAGACCAUACUUUCCAAUAAGUUACAUUCAGGAAUUUGGCCUAAAGCUGUAAACUUUCCUGGGAGCAGGCCCAUAGGCCCAUAGAACACAUACCUGCUUCAGAAUAAAUAUGUGUAGGAUUACUCUGUAAACCUGUCAGUAGAGUCUCAAAAGACAAAGGACACCAAUAGCAUCCAAUUACUCUGCUGGGCAAGGAGCCUCAUUGAACUGGUCAGGCCCUGUGCCAAUAAAUGAUUGCAUCAAUAGAGGUAGAAAGAAGCCUCACUUGUCCCUUUCCUUCCCCUUAUUGCCUGCCUGGGCCUUUUCAAGCUGGCUUCUCCAUUCAGAAAAGAUUUUUCUAUGACAGGCCAAUGAGGAGGAUUAAAGAGCAAUUAAGCCCAAUAAAUUAUCUUCCUAAAACAUUUUUUAAAAAUAUCCACUGUGCUGAAGCAAAGUUACUGCCGCUUCAUUUCCCCUGUGAAGGGGGAUCAAGGCAGAUCAAACAGCCUUAGACCUGCUGACGCGCCCCUCUUUUGCUUAACACAGGACUCAUAGUGGCCUGCAGAAAUCUACUCAGCUUCACCCACCCAUUCACACCCCUGAUCAAAUUAAAUCAAUCUUCUCCUCAGGAAGGGAUUUUGGCUUUAGAAAACACAGAAUAUGCCUUUAAAGUUAAAGAAGAGGAAGAGAAGACACCCCCAACACUCUUUAUGGGUCAAUUCCAUAAGUAAAGCAGAAAAAAGAGCAACCACCUCUUCUCUUCUUCACAACUCCAGCUCAUGAAGAUUUCCUAUUUUCUUUCUCAUUAAGUAUGUUUGUGUCUGCUUUUUAUAAUGUUGUCUGAGACCUUUGGGUAAAAACAUGUAGCAUCAUAUAUAUAUCAUCUACUGCUUUCCCCCCUCCACUGUUAAUAAAAGUGUUUGGAAGUUUUAUUAGCUGGCUUAUGUUGCAUAUUUUGUACAUCAUUUGCAGCAAUGGAUGUCCCCAACAUAAUCUGUAUUUCACAUGGAUGUUAUUGGGACAGUGCACUUUAAUAAUGGAGCUUUUGUGGGUUGUCAGAUAGUGGUCACACAACGUGCAGUUUGAAAAGAGGGGGGUCACAUGAAGGGGUGCUAUGAAAUGUUUCAAGAGUAAGGUAGCAAACUCCAGCCAAUAUAUUUUGGUGCCUCGGACAGAAGAUCCAAAUGACUCCCCAUCCUAGUACUGACAAAUACAGAACACAAUUUACCAGACUGUUCUCCUGCACACACUUUGUUGAAAUGAAUGGAAGUUCUUUAAAAUCAUGGAGCUCAGAUUGUGCACUGCAGCUGUUUGGAGUUGCAAAAUUAUCUUGGACCAACCCUUCUUGAAACCAGGUGAAUAUUUCAAUAUUCACUCAGAUUUGAAAUUGGAAUUUGUGUUAGCUCUAUCCAUGCCCUUUUAAUGCAUGUUCCCCAAGAGACUGUCUGAUAAAUGAGUUUCCUGGCAGGAAUGUUUGCUGAAAGAUUAAAUUUUAAGCAAAUGUCACAAAAUAUUAACUCAGAAGUCAUUCUUAAACUUGUAAAAUCGACACAGGAAGCUGUACAGUAGUAAUAUAGAGGAAUAUAUUGUGACCUGUGAGUUCAAUCACUGCUGUCCAACACACAUUUUGAAAUAAAACAAAAAACUCCAAACCCUCUUACAUAAAAUUCCUCAUACAGUAAUCUGAAUCCAGUGUAGUAGUCACAGUAACUUGUGUUAGUGUAUCUCUGUGGCAAGAACUCUACCACUUACCCAGAUCUAUGACCUACAUUGUGUAAAACCUUCCCCAAUUCACUUGCAUAAACAAGUUGAUGCUUGUGCUAAAUUUUAUGCUGAAUUUUAAAAUAAAGCAGCUCUGCUGAGGAGGAUUUGACUUCCUAUGGAAACAUUAAACUGGAAUAUUAAACUAGAGAAGAAUGAACAAUUGGAAAGGAUUUUGCAUAUUAAAAUUUAAUUGUAACAGAAUUAAUAAUACUAAGAUAAGUCCUACCCACGUCUGCAUUAUUUAUUUAUUAUUAAUGUUAUUAUUAACAUUAUUAAAUAUUUAUAUCCAUUAUUUCAACAAAAGACUACAAGGUGAAUAACAACCAAGGUAUAACUAUAAAUUAAUGUUUUAAAAUCUCACUUAUCAGCUAGUGUUAAAACAACAGCAAAAACAACAAAAAAGAGAUUGCAACAGCAAUCAAAUUGCAUAAAACCAGAGACAGCUGAAACCAGUUCAAUUGUUUAAAAAAGUACAAUAUAAAAGCUUUCAUAGGUUUUUCACCAACUUAUAAAAGGACAUUGCACAGUGGAAGAAGGUAGGGAUUGAAAAAUGAAUCAUGAGAACAUUCUGAACUUUUGCAUAUAAUAAGGUAUUGGGGGAGGGGUUGUUGAAGUAAUUUAUUAGAAAUGUUUCAUUGCCGUAAUCUCACUUGUAACUUCCGCAGGAAGGCACAUUAUGUAACCAUAUCCCACAACACAACCAAGGUAGCAGUUGGUGUACUUGCUCCUUAAGUGCUAGAAGCCUUCCUGGUUAGCACAACUAUACUAUGAAUCGUGCUAGGAUGAGUUUGAUGAAGAACAUGAUCCAUGAUUAGUGGUGCAGCUAGGGAUGGCCCUCGAGGUCAAAAUCCAGGGCUCCUCAGUCCAUGGGGGCCUCAAAUGACCACCACAAAUAAGUGACAGAGGUUAGAGCAGUGGUAAACAUCAGCACCUGAGCCAGCAUGGGCCUACCUUGCACAGGGACCACUGCUGAUGGCUGCAGCAUGCUAUCAUUUAAAAAAACAAAUCAUAGUCAAGGUGCUGAAAGUGGCAAUAGUUUGGCAGCUCACUCAGUAUGAUUGCCUUCAUGGCAAGCUAUUUUUAGUAUUCCCGGUUUUCCUGGCCUCUGAGGCAGGUCUUGGUGCAGGUAAUUGCAAUCCAUUUUAGAAUGAUUUUGCCCUGAGCAAUUUAUUAAUUUUUUUACUUUAAAAACACACUAUAAUUUUCUGCAACGAAACUGUACUCAUUCCCAAAUAAAUGUACUUAGAAUCAGGACAGCAGAAGCAGAUUCCAUUUUAUUUCUGUAAUCAUGAUGGUGCUGUGAUUUAAGUGAGUUUAAAAUGCACAUACUCAGAAUGUGACUUCAUCUUUUUUUUUUAAUCAGGGAAAUGUUUUGUUUUGUAUUUAUUUCCUGCUCUAAUAGCAGCUGUAAAGCAUGAGAUAUUCAGAGAAUUAAUUAAUUAAUUAAUUCACAAUUGACAUAAUAUGCAAGGCAGUCUAAAGAAGGGACUGGGAAAUCUGUUAAAUCCAGGGUAUAAUAUUACCUCGUUGCAGCACUGGCCAUUAGCGGUCAGCAAGUAUGCUCUCCUGCCAUAACUAUAACUUAUUCCACCUGAAUUGUAAGGAAAUGAUAUGAUAUCAUUUGCAGACUGUAGUGGAGAAUUUAUUGACCCCUAUUCCUUUGAAUGACUUUGAGGGGGAGCAUCUGCAUCUUCAUGUCACAGAUACAGUCUCCAAAAAAGGAAUAUUAAUUUAUUUCUUUGCACCAAUAGUUGAAGAUAUCUUACACCCAAUUCUGCAGUAACAUGGAUUUUCCUUUUUGAUAUAUAUUAAAAAAUGUUGUUAUCCUUAUUAUCAAAUAAAUGUUAUGCCCAAAUGCACAUGGACUGAUUUUCUGUCUGCUAAUUAGUCAGUGAAACCCUCAUUUAAAUUGGGACUUAUCUAUACAACAUACAUGUGCUACACAGAUUAAUACAAGAAUGAUGCCAUCAAGUCAACUAAGAGUGCAAAUUUAAUAUUUAGGGAUGCAAGACCUGUUGAGUUAAUUGCAGGGGACUGGGAAGUAAGGAAAACAGUUUAUGAAGUGCUCCCAUGCAGUAUUUCAAGAUAUACACGCCCACUGGAAGAAGCAAAAUUAUUCUCUGCCCAUGCUGCACCCUUUCAAAAUCCCCACAAGGUAGACACUGGAAAGGGUUACUUCUUAAUUGGCCUUCAGUGUUUGUGGAGCAUGCAAUGUCAAACAUUCUGUAAACACAAAUGUUAUUAUACCAAGCAUGCUUUAUGGAAGUCUAUAAUAUUAAAGAAUAACUAUCUGCCUGAACAGCUUGGGGCAUUCAUCUGCGGAAAUGUUUUGCCAAGGAGCAGACACACCUGUUGAAAUUGUUUAAGACUAGAGAUCAAUAAGUGGGUGCUGCUUGAAAAGCCAAUCACACUCCGGAGUUCCCAAGGGCGAGGGUGAGCAGAACCACUAUAAUGUAGAAAUUGCACUGAGUAGCGCUAUUUGCCAUUGAUUGUAGCAGAAGGUUACAGGGAGCAAAGAAUCUUAGAACAAGUGGAUCUUUUACCCAGACCCCAAAGUUUUCCCACGCAAGUUCCAUUGGAAAUGAAUGAAAAUGACCCUGCUUUCUUCACAGCUCCUGUUCCUUUCAAAAAGUCUUGCAAGGAGACACUGAUAGAUUGUGCCUUCUAAAUGUAAUAGUUUGCCUCGUCUUCUAGACUGCUGUCCUGUGAGAAACAUUAGUUAGCAGAAGGAUAUGGGUGGCCUCAAGUGCCUAGGGCACAGUACUGAAUAUUAUCAGGAGAGCUGGAAUCUCUUACCAGCUUUGCCACUGAGAUUAUGUGCAAAGUUGUGUGAGCUUAUUUCAUUCAUGAUUAUUAAAUUCCCCUUGAUCUAUCUGAUAUAAAUUUAAAUUGAAAAGGGGAUUGAGAAUUAGUGUAGCCUUAUUCCUCUCUCAGUUCAACAUAGUUCAAGUUUACAGUGUCUCAUUUCCUUCAUUUCUCCCAGUAUAUUUUAUUAAUUCAAAGUAGUGCUCAAAAUUAUGCAUGUAAGGCUUUUGAGUUACAUAGAGUUCUUCUCAACAUGGAUGUUAAAUAAUGUUUUUCCCCUUGUGCAUCCAACCUGAUGAAAAUUUUUAUGUUAAGCAAAAGCUGGUGGAACACAAUGCCAUACAGGCAAGAGUUCCAACAGGAUUUUUUAGUACCAGGACAUUAUGUGGAUUUGGUCCUCUGACUACCCACAAAAUAGGGUUUGGUUUUAUUUGAUGCUUUAUUAUAUUUCUAUGCUGCUUUUCAUUCUAAUGAAUCCCAAGGUGGUUUACAAACUAAAAUAAUAAUAACAUGAUUGAACAUCAUCAUCAUUGCUGUAUACCACCCUAUACCGGCAGGUCUCAGGAUAAAAUCACUCCCUGUUAUGCCUCUGUCUUCAUGAUGGGGUACAUAUACUGGAAAGGGAAGCCAGAGAGUUAUCCAUCACCAUACUACAGAAGUGCUGAGGGUCUGCAUCCUGUCCACCAUGGUUUUGUCACAAAAGCACUAUUGGUGAUGUGCUAAUAAAUUCAAGUCACAUGGAGUGAAGGGUGUGUCAGAGGGGUAUAAGAAGAUAUACUGAGACGAUAGCCAGCAGACUCUGGCAACAAUCAUGUUAAUGAAAAAGGUAGAGACAUCAUUGGACAGUCAAGAGGAUUCAGCAAGUAAAAAGUUUUCCUGGAGCAUGAAAUAUAUUAUACAUUUAGUCAUCUAUGAGAGGCUGUUGGUUCACUCUUUCCUGCUUUGCUUCAGGUGUGUUUGAUUCAAACCUAUAUCUUGGGUGCUUGUAUUAAGGAAUAGGUUGCAUUUAAUGAACUUGACUUGAUAAAUAGAAACAUCAGUGCUGAUGGAUGAAGAGGAGUUGCACAAGCAGUUGGUUAAUAAGAUGCCACCCAGUUCACCAGCUGCUUCUAUUGGAGUUGAUUUUGUAUACAUGGGUGAAGGCAAACUUUGAGUUUACAUGGGAAGCAUAGUUUGGCAUCCGUCUCAAUGUUUGGCUUAUUGGGAAUGGAACAGUGGGGGGAAAUGGAAGUGGGCAAGCUAAAAAAAUAUUAACAGAAAUAAUAAAGCUGCUGCUACAUAGUUAGAAGCCUGAGAGAAAUAAACCAAUGUAGUUUGUUAGUGUUAUGUGAGUGAAAGUGUCGUGACUCCGACUAAAUAAGCUCCCCUUCCUUUUCUUGGUAAAUAUGAAGGAAGUACACUAAUAUCAUUUUCUAUCAUUGGAGCAGUGGGUGUCUUGGCAGGAGAAGCCUGAAAUGGCAUGCCCAUUAGGUAUGGCUGGCAUUUGUACAUGACUCUUGCUUUGCACAGAAUGACACUGGCAAAGUCUGGAAACAAACAGUGCAUACAUCUAAUGUCAGUAAUUCCCUUGGACAAUCUAAAUGCACAUAUUUAGGAAAGUAAUAUCCUCCCCCAUGGAGUGUAUUCCCUCUCAGUCUCCCUCUCUUCCACUCUCUCUCACACACACACCCUGAAGAUCACCGACAAUGAAAUUGCUGCACUUUAGAGAGAAGAAUGACGAGCAGUUUGAGUAACAGAAGUGAGAAGGAAAAGCUGCAGAAUGCUAGCUGCAUACGUCACACUGUAAAUGUCAUUCAGCACCUGGGGAGUCUGUUAUUCUCUCAGGGCUUGCAUUUGACACAGCAGGAUUUCAUAUUCCAAGACUAGAAAUGUGAGAAAUCAGGACAUUAUUAGCUCGGAGAAGAAUAGCUGAGUAUUUAGAACCAUUUGGAUCCAGACUGACAAAAAGAAACAUUUUUCAAAACAGCAGUAAAUUUGCAGAGUGGCCAGAGCAAAAGGGUGGCAGUCUUCUAUAUAUGCAAAUAAAUCCACAGAAAUUACUAGCCAACACAUUUCUUUGGUAGUCGUACCUAAAAGAAAGUAGAUAAAAUUCAUAAAUCUGAACUAUCUUGACUGGUCACCUGGUGAGUGGAUAUUCAUAAGCCUACUUUAAUAUAUGUAUUGGGUUAAGUUUUAUUUAGGCCAUAGACAAUAAUUAACAAGGAAAAUAUAAUAUAAAAAAAUGAUAAACAGUAGAAACCAUAUCUUACAGAUUCUCACAAAGGGUGAAAAGCAGGUCAACAAAAAAUUUAUUGUAAUUAAAGUGAUCAUAACAGCAGUUCACAACAUGGGAUUCAAGAAAAGCAGCAAGAGAUAAUGCCAAGGCAUAAAUUGCUGGCUUAAAGUAACUUUUGCUGAUAUAUUUUUUUCUAGCAGAAAGUUUGACCAAUUCUCCUUACUCAUCAGCAGUGGUGGAAGUCAUUUAUAUAUAACUGAGAUAUGAAAGACACAUUUAAAAACAUAAUGUAUGUUCCUCGGUCCUGUGCAGCAAAAUGCAUAAAUAACUUUAUACGCAACAUGGGCAUUCUCAAUUUCAAAACUACUGUUGAAAUCAGAUUAUAUCUUAAUGGGGUAAGAAUUCUUCUCAAAGUAACUAAUUAGAUGAGGACACUCUUCCAAGCAAUGGGAGCAUUUCAACAUGAUAAACCAUAGUGCAAUUGUAUUGCUAUUUAUUGCUUCAGAUCACAUCUGACCUAAAUUCCAACAUGGCCAUUAAGGACAACAAAAUAAUUCUGGGGCAUAGCAUAUUAUUGUACUUAUUCCGUUAAACUCUUGCACCAAGCUGGCUGUUGGAAUUGAAAGGAUGACAUUUUCUGCUUUAAAAAUGUUUUAGGAAAUUGAGUAGUAUUGUGGAUGCAAAUUUUAACUGGUGCAACAUAUUCCUGCAUGACAAGCUGUACCUGCCUAAAACCUCUCUUCUACACAACUGUUAAAUGUUUAUGCUAACCAAAAUAUCAAUGGGAAUUUUGCUGAAAUCAAGAUAAUUUACAUCUACAGCAUUCCCACCAUCUACUAAACUGAUCAAAACAAAGUUUAAAUUACUUUGGCAUUAUUAUUUACAAAUUCAUGCUGACUUCUACUAACCACUUCAUUGUUCUCAAGGUGCUUGCAGACUGACCUCUUUAUAAUCUUUUCAAGUAUCUUCCCUGGAAUUGGUCAGAAUGAGCUGCCCAUAGUUGCCAGAUUCUCCUUUCCUCAUUUUUGUUUGCAGUCCUGUGGCACUUUACCUGUUUUCUAGAUUGCUUAAAGAUGAUAGUCAGAGGUUCUGACAGUAUAUCAACAAGUUCUUUAGUACCCUAGAUGCAAGUCAUCUGGCCUUGAAAUCUUAAACUCAUUUAAAAUAGCUAGAUAUUUUUUGACAACUCCUUAUUAAUCUUGAACUGCAAUCCUGACUCCUCAACAGUCAUGCUAUUAUGCAGGUUAGCACACAAUUCCCCCUUGGGAAAAGACAGAGGCAAAAAUAGGAAUUCAGCAAUUCCACCUUCUUGCUGUUACCCAUUAACAUUUCACAAUUCCUACUGAGCUACACACCCCAUUUCCUUCCUCUUCUCUUACUCUGAACGUGCCCCAAAAGGCACUUUUUCUUGCCACCGUCAAUUCUUUCUGAGCUUUAGCUUUGCUGACACUGUUCCAACAAGUCUAGGAUACUUGUACUCAAUGCUUUUUUUCUAGAAAAAGAGGUGCCAGAACUCACCACUCUCUUUUUAUGGCACCUGAGAGGUGCCAGAACUGAGUUCCAGCAACUUCCAACUAAAAAGAAAAGCCUUGCUUGUACUCAUCCUUGUUAACUUAUCCUUCAGUCCUCUUCUCAUGCAUGUCCUUUUUAUUUUCAGCUUUUUGUGCAGCCACAUAGAAUAGACUUUUAAAAAAUCCUACAUUUUUCAUUCUCCUUGGAAUUAUUGGUGAUUGUGCCUUUAGUAAUUUGUUAUUCGGGAACUGUCACCUGUCUUGGAUUUCUUUUCUCAUGAGUAGAAAUAGCCAUUUAAUUCUACCUAGCAUUUAUUUCAGAAUAUGAAAAUUGGGGGUUUUUUAGAACAAGCUACAUCCUUCAAUUGCUAUUUUCUAAUCAUGUCCCACUAAGUCUCAGUUAUGUGGAUCAAUUUGUAUUUACUUUCUCAUUCAAGAAGCUGAAGUUCAUCUUGUUCAUUUCCCAUACUCUAUGCAUUAGCAUAGAAGUGUAAAGCUUUGGAUAUUCUACUCUGAUAUCUCUCCUGCUAUUUUAGCGUAGGGUUUGCUGGGCAUCUCCUCAACUUUCCCAGUUUCUCCUGUAGCAGCCACAUCCAUAGAUUUAGUGCUUCAUUUUGUACUUAGCUUUCAGCUAUUGGAGCCAUCCCACACAGUAUUUGAUUAUGCCCCUCUUGCUCAGGUUUGCCAUUCUUCUGCCAGAUACAUUUCCCAAGGUGCAGCCUACCUUCCUUCUUUAGGAAGCUUACACAAUAGUCCAAGAAACAUGCUGCAACUUAGGAGAAUAGUUCCCCUGAACUGUGAUCUCUCUGUGUAGUCCUCUACCUUGAUGAGAACUUUACCAGAGCCCCAAGAUGCUUUAUCUUCUUCCCCAGAACUUUAUAGUCAGGUAUGUUUUCAUAGUAAUCCCUGGUGGUGUCAUUCAUUCCUGUACAGAUGAGCAAAAAUAUAUAAUGAUCAGUGGGCUUGAUAAAACUUGGUAAGUUAUCAAUCACAUCCUGGGUCCCAAUACUUGAGAUACAGUAUACUUCAGAAGUUAACAGAUUCACUUGACACAGAAGACUCAUCUCUCAGUAGGGAGUUCCCAGCCAUUAUUACCACCACUUUAUUCCUCUUCCUGCAUAUGGAGAUUGUCACCUCUGUCCUUAAAGGCUUGAGAGUCUUCCUUCCUAGCUAAUGUAGCCUGCUGCUGCUGUCUUCCACCAGCUCCUCAGAGACACUGGAAAGAGAGAUACAGUGGUACCUCGGGUUAAGUACUUAAUUCGUACCGGAGGUCCGUUCUUAACCGGAAACUGUUCUUAACCUGAAGCACCACUUUAAGUAAUGGGGCCUCCUGCUGCUGCCGCACCGCCGGAGCACGAUUUCUGUUCUCAUCCUGAAGCAAAGUUCUUAACCUGAAGCACUGUUUCUGGGUUAGCAGAGUCUGUAACCUGAAGUGUAUGUAACCUGAGGUACUACUGUAUUGUGUUCCAGUGGUUCAGAAUGCCGCCUUAUACUCAUGUUCUUUACAGUCAUGGUCUUCAAUGCAGUUUCCCCAAUCCUACAGUUCUCAUUUUCUUGACUGCUUUUGUCCUUUCUGUAGUACCCCAUGUCCUGCCCAAGAAGUCAUUGUCUUCAUAAAUGAAGAAUGGAAACUCAUCACUGCUGUCUUCUUACUUACUCGCCCAGCAGGACAAUCAACUGACAUUUUCUGCAAGUGUACUCUAUGCUGACAGACAAGAAAAUAAGCAGAGCACACACAUUUCAGGGCACCACCAAAGAACCCUCACUGUCUGUCUUCUUAGCUCUUCAUCACAUCUUAGCCUCUACCACUACUGCUGAAGUGGUCUUUGCUUCUUCCUUCAUUUAUUCUUUGAAGUUUGCCGGAGUUCCCAUGAUGUUCUGCUACUUAGUAUAUAAUUUGCAGCAUGCAACUAUUUAUAUAGUACAGUUAUUUAUAGCCUGAGUUUCAGAAUAUAGCUUAUUCCAAUGUGGCUUACAAGAAACUUUUAAACUGUAUUAAAUACAUAAACAUAAUGACCAAUAUCAACAUAUAAAAAGCCAUCAGAAUCCUUCACACAGGACUGUUGAUAGUACAUAGUAUUUUGGGGUAGGAAAGUCCAGCUGGUGCAAAGUUCCAAGGUAGCCUUUGCCUGCCUCCCUCUCUUUCCUGGAAUCCUUUUGACCCACUAGUGGGAAGAGCACAGAGCGGCAAGAAGUCUAAGCCCCCAGAUAGUUAUAGUGACUGAUUUCCAGGAUCUUUAGCAAAGGCUGCUGAAAGAGUAUGCAAGUGAGUUGCCACCUCACAGAUCCCAGCCCUGUCUCUCUGAGAGGGGUGUGGGUGGGUGUAUCUAUUUGUCUACCUCUGUCUCCAACUGAUCUUCUAGUCAAGAAUUUGUUUCUGUUAUCUGAGAGAAGAAAAAAGUAAAGCCUCAAAAUCUGGGGUAGGGGAAAGAAUUUCAUCCAUUCUAGCACCAAAAGAAAUCUUAUAGGAAAUCACAGAUGAAGAAGCUUCCAGCAUUAGCAGGGAAUAUGAGGCUCCCACAAGUUGAUGGCGGAUUCUUCAGUAGGAAUAAAUUUUUGUAGUAGAGAAACGGCUUGGGUGAGAACUAAACUCUGCAGGUUUAAUAGGCUAAACACCUGUAUUUGCGGACUACACAACCCUUUCUGUUGCUCUCUAAUCUCCUCAUUCUCAUCCAAUAUCAAUGGAUUUUUAAACACACUUCCAGUCUGUUUUAGGUCCCUUUGGACCUCAAUGGAUGCAAAUGCUAAACUGAAUUAAACUCUGGAUUCAUUGCUUGGAACUCUAUGCAGGCAUCACAUCCAAAAUGCUAACUAUGUUAGAUGUAUCCUGGGAAACAUCCACUGGCCUUUGCAUACAUUCUUUCUACUAUGUGGUAUGCUCUGGUGAUAAAAUAUUAUACUGGUUUUUAAAACCUCCUUUAUUAAUUUUAUGUACAACUGACAACCUACCUGCUCUCCUAGCCAGUCUUCCUGACCUUGUAGGCCUGUUGCUGUUGUCUGAGAGAAUAAUAAAAGCAUUCACCAUAGAUAAUUCCUUUGUUUGUCAAGCUAGGACCACCCCUGGAUGGGUGGAAAGGAUGCCUCUCUAGCCCACAUCAGUGGAUGAUCUUAUUGAGGCCUUGUUCUCAAUUUGUCUUAAAAAUUGUUAAGUCAAAAACUUCUCCACUGCCUGAAACUGUAACAUGGGCUCUCUCUUCUUUCUCUCCAUUAAAACACUCCUAGGGAAUUUUUAAAGUUUUUGUGGUUUUGGCUUACACAGGUGGGUAUAACUCUCAUGACAUCUUGGCACAGAGGGUGUAAAUUUCAUGGAGUUUAUAUUGCCUGCAUCUCAAAACAGAUGUGCCCCCCCCCAAAGUCUUUGCUUGAAGUGGUAAUGUACAUAUUGUAAGAUCUGUCAAAGGGCUGCGGCCUUUUUCACACCUGAGGUUAUCACAUUUAGAACAAGGAUAUUGUAGACUGAUGAGUGUGACCGCUCAAGCGGUUGGUGGUUGGAGUCCUCCAAGAUGGCAAAAAUUAAAUUGAUUAUGCAAAUCAGUUGCAGCCCCUGAGGCUACCAUUUUAUCCUCACUUCCUCCUCCUGAGUUGUGCCAGACUCUCAUUUGAGGUACUGUCCAGCUCCAAUGGCGCGUGAAUCUGUGUCCCAGGGGUGAGGAUUAUGGGUGAAAUUUUGGCUCGGCUAAAAAAUCAAUAGGUGUUUUGUAAUUGGCUUGGAUGGAACCAGAAUUUUAACUCAUGGCUCCUUCCUCCUGAAGGGCUUCGCAUAUUUAUAUCUGCAGUGAAGAGGAGAAAAAGCGACCCAUUCGGCUGCUAAGAUGAUGCUGGAAAUGGUGCCUUGCCUUGCCCAGACAAACAAAAGCUAUCCGGAAGGAGACGCAGUGGGCUUCCCUUCACCGUUUAUUUGUUGAGCAAGCGAAGAAAGAGAAGGCUCCUGGCGGAGACAGAAACAAAGAAAUUCAGCCUCGUCUGUGUUUUCCUUCCUGCCUUGCCUAGGCUACCCCACAGGCCAUCUGUCAAGUUGUUCUGGGCUGUGGGAAAAAGUUCUGUCCCACAAAACAGUGCAAGGGGCUAUCCCGUUAAGUUCUUUCUCCGGCCUCCUUGCGGUAAGAAGUUCUUAGGCACUGACAGAUCUCCGCUUCAGGCUCUCACCAAAGUUUCCUCAGGACUUUGGGAUCCUGGCAGAAUCAAGCCCCAUCAACUCCUGGUCCUUCACGUGCAGAGGAAGACCAGGUUGGAGCUUGAGGUGAAGGCGAGAGUCACUUUCUGUAGUGAGGCAGCCUGGAACUAGCUACGCUCGAAUAUCCAAAGCGAUUGUGGAUUUGGAAUCUCUACCAGACAGCAUCCUACAGGCGGUGUUGUGGCCUAUGCAGAUGUUGCAGGUGAUUGCGGUGUGCUGCUGUUGUUGCUUUCUCUGCGCUUUCUUUUAUUUGUAAGCCGCCUUGACAGGUCACUUUUGGAAUACACGAUUACAAACAAAGUUAACAUCAACCGAAAGGAAAAAUCAACAGGACAAGCACUUCAGUCACCAGCACCUUUCUCGUGAAGGAAGUGGCACUGAGUUCAUUUCACCCCAUUUCUCUUUAGCACUUGGAUGGCGACGGGCUAUUCAAUCCAAGUGCUGUAGCUUAACAGCAACUGACGUGGAGAGGACGGAGGGAAAACGAGGCGAUGGGAGCUAGUCCGCAGGGAGGUUUUUAAGCGGCUUGGCAGAGUCUCCGUUUUUUCACAGUUUUUAGGCCUAAAAAGAGGAAGCUCUCCCCACUCCCUCUUUUUAGCCCAGACUCGAGGUAAAGCGUUAGAAAAUAAAACCAGCUCUUACAGCCAGAGCCCAGCCACGUUUCAUCCGAAGGAAUUCUCACUGGUUUCAGUGAGGCUUACUUACUCCCAAGUAAGUGUGUAUAUAAUUCCUGCUUUUUAAAUGAUCCCACAAACCCUCUUUCUUCUACACACACACACACACGCACGCACACACUCAUCGAUCACUCACUGAAUUUCCUUGGGAAGAGUUCAGGACCUGAAUGACACGUCCCGGUUUCUCAGCCGCUUGUCCCCAGACUUCAUGUUUUUGUUUUAGGCUGAAAAAUCUCCCGUGACUCCCUUUUCACCCUACGUCCCAAAAGUACGGUUUUGAUCCCUCCUUGUUUCAGAUUUUGGGACGGUUGUCCGGGAUUUCGAGACAGGUGGGGGCCUUUAAUCCGCCCUCUAACCCCGUGACCUCCUUCCCUUAAGGAGCU
Molecule: long non-coding RNA, 19466 nt
Filed under: Podarcis lilfordi (Lilford's wall lizard)
Lineage: Eukaryota; Metazoa; Chordata; Lepidosauria; Squamata; Lacertidae
Source: RNAcentral